ACCCCCUCAAGCCUUGCUUGGUGUUGGGCGUCUGUCCCGCCUCUGCGCGCGGACUCGCCUCAAAGCGAUUGGCGGCUGGUGCCCCGGCCUGGAGUGCAGCAGAAUUGCGCUCCCUGCGCGGGCCCGGCUCCCAGAAGCGACCUCACCCA
Molecule: unclassified non-coding RNA, 149 nt
Filed under: uncultured Dothideomycetes
Lineage: Eukaryota; Fungi; Ascomycota; Dothideomycetes
Also listed under: 1 other name
Description: sequence contains ITS2
Source: RNAcentral